Non-coding RNA from Biomphalaria pfeifferi, 364 nucleotides. Lineage: Eukaryota; Metazoa; Mollusca; Gastropoda; Planorbidae. The record is from the annotation of a GenBank genome assembly.
GGAGGGCUCUGGCCUGCUUCAACACAUCCUUCCAUUCAGAUCUUUCCUAGGCCUUUCGUCUCCACGCCCUAACCCCAAGCUGUUGCAGAUCUGCCUCCACAUCAUCAAUCCAUCGCUUUCGGGGUCUGGCUUUGGGUCGCCUGCCUUUUUUUUUUUUUACCUGUAUACAAUUUUCGCUCCUGCUGGGAGAAAGCCUGGAUUAUAAAUUUACAAUGGUUGUGCUAACAAUUCGUCAGAACUCGCCUCUCUUCCAUGCUGAUCGGAUUUAAAGGGAUGGAGAAACAUCGCAUUUUGGGGACUGUGGCUAAGCCUUGUCCUCUUUCUCAGUAAUCUAGCAAGGAAAGUGACUCGAUGAGAAGCAUAU